GAAACUUAAAUGAAUUGACGGGGCCCGCACAAGCAGUGGAUUAUGUGGUUUAAUUCGAAGCAACGCGAAGAACCUUACCAGGGCUUGACAUCCAACUAACGAAGCAGAGAUGCAUUAGGUGCCCUUCGGGGAAAGUUGAGACAGGUGGUGCAUGGUUGUCGUCAGCUCGUGUCGUGAGAUGUUGGGUUAAGUCCCGCAACGAGCGCAACCCUUAUUGUUAGUUGCUACGAAAGAGCACUCUAGCGAGACUGCCGUUGACAAAACGGAGGAAGGUGGGGACGACGUCAAAUCAUCAUGCCCCUUAUGUCCUGGGCUACACACGUAAUACAAUGGCGCUUAACAGAGGGAGGCGAAGCCGCGAGGUGGAGCGAAUCCCCAAAAAGCGUCUCAGUUCAGAUUGCAGGCUGCAACUCGCCUGUAUGAAGUCGGAAUUGCUAGUAAUCGCGGACCAGCAUGCCGCGGUGAAUACGUUCCCGGGCCUU
RNAcentral lists this ribosomal RNA (482 nucleotides) under uncultured Oscillospiraceae bacterium. RNAcentral describes it as "bacterial SSU rRNA". It matches the Rfam family "Bacterial small subunit ribosomal RNA", at positions 896 to 1382 of the family's 1533-position model. Lineage: Bacteria; Bacillati; Bacillota; Clostridia; Eubacteriales; Oscillospiraceae. The record is from RNAcentral.